Ctenopharyngodon idella (grass carp) is the source of this 486-nucleotide long non-coding RNA. RefSeq lists it as uncharacterized. Lineage: Eukaryota; Metazoa; Chordata; Actinopteri; Cypriniformes; Xenocyprididae. The record is from RefSeq and is a predicted model, not a curated record. The transcript has 3 exons.
AACAAAUAAAUAACACGAGGAAAAAAAUCGACCGGGGUAAAAAUGCAACUAAACACCAACAAACGUUAUACCGCUAAGAGGCACCAUUGCUAAACAUUCAGAACAACAGCGAUGCAACGCAAAAUCCUAAACAGGUUUAAAAAUGUGCAGUGGGAACAUGGAGCUACACUUAUGGGAAAACUAAUGGAAUUUGAUGACUGUAUCGGCCAAACUUUGAUGAAGAGAUGGAUCUUAAAGCACAAGAGCACAGUGAGGGCUGGUCUUGAUUUUCCCUCAACUUUGAACAUUAAAGGGACGCAGAAGCAUGACACGGCAAAAUUAUGUAUCAGUUACACUGACGCACCAGAAUAUAUGCAAUCAUCUCUCAUAACUGCCUAAACUGUGAAACCCAUUUGCACUGUUUACUCAGCUGGUUUCUUAAGAACUGGUGCUGUGAGUAAUUUGAUUUGCUAGAAUGUAUUUGUGUGGUGUAGCACUUGCUUUCUA